GGACCUGACUGCUAUCGGAUUGAUACUAAGCCAUGCGAGUCAUUGUAGCAAUACAAGGCAUACGGCUCAGUAACGCGUAGUCAACCUAACCUAUGGACGGGAAUAACCUCGGGAAACUGAGAAUAAUGCCCGAUAGAACAUUAUGCCUAGAAUGGUUUAUGUUCCAAAUGAUUUAUCGCCGUAGGAUGGGACUGCGGCCUAUCAGUUUGUUGGUGAGGUAAUGGCCCACCAAGACUAUUACAGGUACGGGCUCUGAGAGGAGUAGCCCGGAGAUGGGUACUGAGACACGGACCCAGGCCCUAUGGGGCGCAGCAGGCGAGAAAACUUUGCAAUGUGCGAAAGCACGACAAGGUUAAUCCGAGUGGUUUCUGCUAAAGAAACCUUUUGUCAGUCCUAGAAACACUGAUGAAUAAGGGGUGGGCAAGUUCUGGUGUCAGCC
RNAcentral lists this ribosomal RNA (439 nucleotides) under uncultured archaeon. RNAcentral describes it as "bacterial SSU rRNA". It matches the Rfam family "Archaeal small subunit ribosomal RNA", at positions 19 to 463 of the family's 1478-position model. The record is from RNAcentral.